RNAcentral lists this ribosomal RNA (253 nucleotides) under uncultured bacterium. RNAcentral describes it as "partial 16S ribosomal RNA". It matches the Rfam family "Bacterial small subunit ribosomal RNA", at positions 524 to 776 of the family's 1533-position model. The record is from RNAcentral.
UACGGAGGGUGCAAGCGUUAAUCGGAAUUACUGGGCGUAAAGGGUGCGUAGGCGGUUUAAUAAGUUAAGUGUUAAAGACCUGGGCUUAACCUGGGGGAGUCACUUAAGACUGUUAGACUGGAGUAUGGGAGAGGGUAGUGGAAUUUCCGGUGUAGCGGUGGAAUGCGUAGAGAUCGGAAGGAACACCAGUGGCGAAGGCGGCUACCUGGCCCAAUACUGACGCUGAGGCACGAAAGCGUGGGGAGCAAACAGG